Molecule: ribosomal RNA, 497 nt
Filed under: uncultured bacterium
Lineage: Bacteria
Description: partial 16S ribosomal RNA
Rfam family: Bacterial small subunit ribosomal RNA
Source: RNAcentral
GAUGAACGCUGGCGGCGUGCCUAACACAUGCAAGUCGAGCGAACAGACUAGGACCUUGCUCCUCGGACGUUAGCGGCGGAAGGGUGAGUAACACAUCGCUAACCCACCUAUAAGACUACGAUAACUUCCAGAAGCCGAAGCUAAAACCGCAUAAUAUAUUCAACGGCUGGGUUCAAUAGUGAAAGACGGUGUUGCUGUCCCUUAUAGAUGGACCCGCGCCGCUUUAGCUGGUUGGUAAGGUAUCGGCUUUCAAUGGCGAAGAUGAGUAGCCGACCGGAAAUGGUGAUCGGGCACACUGGAAGUGAGCGGCCGCCCAGACUCCUAUGGGAGGCUGCGGCCGGGAAUCGGGCGUCGAGGGCGAAAGCUUGCAGGAGGAGCGCAGCGUGCAUGAGGAAGGUCCUCGGAUGGUAAAACUCUCUUAGCAGGGAAGAACAUGUGUGUCAGUGACUAUGCACGUCCUGACGGUACCUAGGCAGAAAGCCACGGCUAACUACGUG